Molecule: long non-coding RNA, 2856 nt
Filed under: Solanum lycopersicum (tomato)
Lineage: Eukaryota; Viridiplantae; Streptophyta; Magnoliopsida; Solanales; Solanaceae
Description: long non-coding RNA (SLYC_LNC001026)
Source: RNAcentral
UUUUAUUUAAAAGAAAAAUAUUUUUAGUGAUUUUAGAUUUGAUUUUGAGAGUCGCCACUUAAUUUUAGAAAAAUCAAGAAACCUUUGUUUUCAAAAGAUCAAAACACGAAAUUGAUCAAAAACGUUAAACAGGAUUCAAGGGCUCUUAUUAAUAUUUUAGGAAGAUUUUUAUGAGACCUAAAAUACUCGCGUUACUCCGAUUAUCCAAAAACUAAAAUGUUUGGCUAAAAGAUUUAACUUAGUUAGAAUUGAAAAAUUAUUUAGAAUUUGUAAAAAGAGAGAUAUUAAACUAUUAUCUAAGUGAGACUUUUUAACUUACAAAAUUCCUAUUGUUUUAAAAUAUAUAGACAUGAUUGAUUUCAUUGAAUUAUUAAAACGAAAUAACGUCUUGCGGAGGAUUUGAUUUUUUUAAUCCUAAGACUAACAGAAAUUAACUACAGAUAAGUAAGUGAUAAAGUAAAAGAGAGAGAGAGAGAGAGUUGGGUCCAAAUCCACUUUCUGUCUAUCUAGACCGGUAUUUCGACCCAUUUCAUUUUGUACCUAUCCUAGACUAAUUAGACAAUCUGUAAAUAAUGAAUACGGAAAAGAAAAGACAACAAGGGCUUAGGCCCAACGAUAACAAAAUACAACGCUCUGAAAAAAAAUAAAGUUGGACUCUUUUGUCCAAUUUCUUCAACUUCUUAAUCUGUUUGAAUCCUUUCAACUUGGGACCUGUACGUUAAUUUUAUGAGUUUGACUCGAAAGGAAUUGAGCUUUGAAGGCUCUCUUGAAUGACGCAGAAGGAAGUAGGGGUUCACGAUGAACCCGAGUUGAUUUCAGAUGCAACAAUAAAAAAUAACGAUAAAAGUUAGUACUCAAAUAAUGUUAUUUCCAAAUCAUAGCUUAACUAUGAUCAAUCAGUCCUAAAAUAACAAAUUCAUCAAAAGAGAAUCACUGCUUAACACACAUAAACCAGAAACCGGCAAGCAAAUCGAUUACAAACAUAUGUCAAAUACCUGACAAGCUCAAAACAGAGAAGAAAAUAGAUCUUUUGAAUGUACUAAAUGCGUAAACACAUUCUCCGUGCACUUCAAACUGACAAUAAUAAAAAAAAUGAACAAGAAAUCAAGGUCAACCUUCGGUUAGUACUAACAUAGUUCUGCUUCCAAUAAUUUCUCUAAGUACGACAUCGAAGCUAUUUAAAAUAUAAGGCAAUAACUGGAAUAUAUAACAUAGAUAAUGGAAACAAACAAAAAUGCAGAUGACUCGCAGACAUAUCAAAAUGAUGGUUAUUAAUAGAGAACUUGAGUUGGAAACUGUGUUGAAUAAAGAUGCUUAUUAAUACUAUAUGAUUCAUUAUACUACACUUGAUGAAGAAGAAAGCUCUAUGCUAGAGAAUGCCUGACCACCAAUAAAAGAUGGCACACGAAUUCUCCGAAAAAAUAAAAUACAACAGCUUAAGGAACGAAAAGAAUGAACAGUAGACAACAAACUUGGAAAGAGAGACUAGAAACCAGGACACAUUAUGGUAUGAAAGACAGAGAAUGAACCCUAUAUUUCGAAGCAGACUCGACAAUCAUUCGAAUGAGGAAGUUCGAAACAAAAUGUAAUGCAUACAAGGCACAACACUUAAAAAGCUCGACAUAUUGUUGCCUUCAAUACACUAGGGGUGAAAGAAAGAAGAAUAUGACGUUAUGCAUUGAACAUUAAAACUAAUGUAACACUUUCAACUUAAGCACAACAAUGCUAGGAAAGUCCAAAAUAAGAACAACAAACAGAUGAUGACCAGCCCCCAAUAUCCACAUGCAUAUUCAUGUCAUAUUCCGGACUAAAUACACGAUAGAACAAAUAAUACCAACUCUUAUUCAUAACCACCAGCAAACAAACAACUGAAAUGAACUAAAGUUGACACAAGAGAGAAGGAACUGAAAAAUAGCUUGAGGAACUAUACGAACAAAAAUAAAGCUAUGCUACUGAUUUGAAGUCUGCAACAAGUCGAAACAACCCAAUCUUCUAAUUAGUUUGGAAGUCAAAACAUGCCAAUACGCUAAAGUAUGAAUCGUGAUUCGAUGUUACCUUUUUUCGCAAAGCGUUUUGAGACAAACGGACAGGGGACGACCACCACAAGAACCUAAACACGAGCAGCAGUUGAGAACUUAAGCAAAAUAUCGAACUCAACACCUAAAUUAAAGAGUUCUUCCUCCGUUUUCUUUGAAAACCUGUUUUACUUAUCUUAGGCUAUCUCACUGAAACUUUAUAAGUAUUUUCUUUUCCUAAGAAUCCAACUUCAAACUAAAACCUUUAACAAUUUUCUCCACUAAAAUCUCCAAACUCGACAAUAUCUAGUAACUCCCUUUUGUUUUUCAAAAAUUUCCUCCCUCCCUCACAGUGAAAAAAAGAUGUUAUACAUAGGGGAAAUUAUGGUCUAGAAUAUUUGAGGGGGAGGGGGGAGGAUGGAUUCCCCGAAUUCAAGGGCUCAUCCUCGAUUCAAAUUCGAAAAAGUUCACUGUUAAAGGGAAACACCCUUUUUUCUGAAAUUUGGACCCUUUCGGGAAGAGGAAAGGGCGACAGACGGCUGGGAUGAUUCUCGUGUCCUUGGAGUGAGACGUGUCUUGAUGCUAUAAAGCUCUUAUGGGUCUUCCUGUUGAAGAAGAACUUUGGGCCGGGUUGACAGAAUUAAGAAUGGGCUUGGAAAUUGGGUUUAAAGAAGGGAAGGGCUGCUGGUUUUAUUAAUGUUGGGCUGGGAAUUUCUUGGGUAUUAAAGAUUGGAAAAAUGAGUUGAGCGGGCUUGAUUAAUGAAUUAAGGAAGAAGGCCCAAAGUUGAUUUCUCGUCAAGAGUUGACGAUCAAUUAAGUUCGGCCAAUCUUGAUAAAGACG